This is a long non-coding RNA of Eufriesea mexicana, 1988 nucleotides long. RefSeq lists it as uncharacterized. The record is from RefSeq and is a predicted model, not a curated record. NCBI's taxonomy places the organism in Eukaryota, Metazoa, Arthropoda, Insecta, Hymenoptera, Apidae. The transcript is spliced from 6 exons.
GCAACUUCCAUAAUAGGUCACAGCUAAAUUUCUCGCUAAUUUACAGGCAAGAGGCAAAGGGCCAUUAAUAACCGUUGUAGCCGGCCGAAAUACCCGUAAUUUCAGUUUUGGUAUCCAAGGCGCGCCUGGUAAAUAUUUGAAUGCGACACGACGUGGCAAACGAGAUUCGCAAGGGUAGAAGUCGAAACCGGUGAGCCGUAGGCCGAUUGUACUCGGUCGCUCUGUUACCGACGGAGUAGGCACGAAAAUACGACUAAAUCUUUAACGGGCCUGCCGAGUCGGAGAUCGACUCGGUCUAGCAUGAACAGUAAGACUCUCCUUUCCGUGCGCACCGCUUGCACGCCAGAACUUCCCAGUUUCGCGUUAAGUGUAAUAAUAUACGGUUUGUUGGAACCUCGCGUAUUUAAGACUCCAAGUAGCAGCGUGCCGUGUACGAGUUACUUCAACUUCGUCGUUUAAACUCGUUACAACGGUUUACUAGAUAACUCGAUACGUAAUGAGAUAUGUACUUACUUAUCUGCAGUUUUAGCUUGGGGGUUGAAAAAUGUGAUGUUAUUGAUUCCGGUUCACGAGGCAGUUUUAACAAAUGAUCAUUGCCUAUAAUUGUUACAAAGAAUGGAAAUGAAUGAAGUUGUCUGUUUUACGGUUCAAAUAAAUUUUGACGCGUUAAUGAAGUAUUAAUUUGAGGUUAGAGUUACUUCUGAAAAAUGUGUAAAAAGGAGGUGAACAAUCCUAUAAUUCUCGGUGCUGUCGUUAACUAACUUUUCGUAACACAUAUUUAUUUAUAUUUAUUAUAAUAACAACUUCGAACCGGUUUCAAAAUAUUGUUAUUUUAACUAUGGCGCUUUAUCCAAGUAAUUCUAUAAACAAACAGAUUAUCACAAACAUCGAAGAGACAAAUUUUUUAUCUAAAGAUUCCAAAGAGAUAUUUCCAAGGCACGAACACUACGAACGGUCCUACUAAAAGAAAUGACUAAGCCCUGUAAAUUAAGCCAGAGAAAACAACAUGAUUCGAACGUGAACGUUGUGGAAGCAGCGGUCCUUGAGGUCUUGACACGGUUGUAUGGAGAAGAGGCUUCGCUGCCAGAGGAAGUUCGUGAAGGAUCUAGAAACAGAUGAUGGGAGCCAUUGCUUAUCCAAGAAAAUAAUUUAAAAAUAUAUUAUGUCGCAUAUUUUAUCUAAUCGAGUGUAUUGUAAUUAUUCUGAUGGAAAUUACUAAUUUACAUGCAAACAUGAAGGUUGCUGUUGACUGACAUUUAAAGAGCAGAUCCGAUAGUACGUACCAUAACCAACAGCAGAGGCGGUCGCACAUCGAGUCACUUGGUCCAAACGCGGCAAAGAAUAACACGUAACUGAGACGGAAAGACAUCGACGAAAAUUAACCACGAACUUUACCUGUGAUGUUUACUUACCUACCUACGAAUCACGGCUGUCACCCGUGGCAGUCAUGUUUGGCCUGAGUUCCGUAGCACGACCUCAUAAUAUCGUAGGCGAAAAGCUUAAUAUUGUCUUAGAAACAAAUUACCAUAGUUUCCUGAAAAUAAAAUUUAUAUUACGUUCGGAUCAUUUAACGAAGAUACUUUGUAAGAUACUUGAACGAGUAAUGCACAAAGGAUUAUGAGGAAGACAAUGGAAAUAUUAGUCAGUGUGAUGGUAUGAAUACUGACGAAUAUUCGAGAAGAAAAUGUUACGGCUAAUGGAUUACAACAUGAACUGUAUUACACAGGCUGUUUAACUUGCGCCAGUUAUAAAUGAAGCAACUUCUCAGGAGUCAGUUUGGGGAAGAUAGCAAAUUCCGUGCUGCUGAAGUAACUUCUUCUGAACGCCGCUCUGAAAAGCAAACGAACAGUGAAAGAUGAUCCCUCCGUUAACUCUGACAGUGAACAGAUUUCAAGGGAAUCGAUGACAAGAAAAAUAAUUUUAUCCCUACUUUUGUGAAUAUUUUAGUCGAUAACCUCAAAAAUUAUUACUCUCACGAAGGGUGUUGU